RNAcentral lists this ribosomal RNA (253 nucleotides) under uncultured bacterium. RNAcentral's name for it is "partial 16S ribosomal RNA". It matches the Rfam family "Bacterial small subunit ribosomal RNA", at positions 524 to 776 of the family's 1533-position model. The record is from RNAcentral.
UACGUAGGGUGCAAGCGUUGUCCGGAAUUAUUGGGCGUAAAGAGCUCGUAGGCGGUCUGUCGCGUCUGCUGUGAAAACUCAGGGCUUAACCCUGAGCUUGCAGUGGGUACGGGCAGACUAGAGUGCGGUAGGGGAGACUGGAAUUCCUGGUGUAGCGGUGAAAUGCGUAGAUAUCGGAAGGAACACCAGUGGCGAAAGCGGCUUCCUGGUCCAGCACCGACGUUCAGGCACGAAAGCGUGGGGAGCAAACAGG